RNAcentral lists this ribosomal RNA (254 nucleotides) under uncultured bacterium. RNAcentral describes it as "partial 16S ribosomal RNA". It matches the Rfam family "Bacterial small subunit ribosomal RNA", at positions 524 to 776 of the family's 1533-position model. The record is from RNAcentral.
CACGUAGGCACCAAGCGUUGUCCGGAUUUAUUGGGCGUAAAGAGCUCGUAGGCGGUUCGGCAAGUCGGGCGUGAAAACUUUGGGCUCAACCCAAAGCCUGCACUCGAUACUGCUGUGACUUGAGUCCGGUAGGGGAGUGGGGAAUUCCUGGUGUAGCGGUGGAAUGCGCAGAUAUCAGGAGGAACACCGGUGGCGAAGGCGCCACUCUGGGCCGGUACUGACGCUGAGGAGCGAAAGCGUGGGGAGCGAACAGG